This 292-nucleotide ribosomal RNA is filed under the name uncultured bacterium. RNAcentral describes it as "partial 16S ribosomal RNA". It matches the Rfam family "Bacterial small subunit ribosomal RNA", at positions 505 to 796 of the family's 1533-position model. The record is from RNAcentral.
GUGACAGCAGCCGCGGUAAAACGUAGGAGGCAAGCGUUAUCCGGAUUUACUGGGCGUAAAGCGCGUGCAGGCGGUUCGGUAAGUCGGACGUGAAAGCUCCUGGCUCAACUGGGAGAGGCCGUUCGAAACUACCGGACUAGAGGGCAGGAGAGGGAGGUGGAAUUCCGGGUGUAGCGGUGAAAUGCGUAGAUAUCCGGAGGAACACCAGUGGCGAAGGCGGCCUCCUGGUCUGCCCCUGACGCUCAGACGCGAAAGCUAGGGGAGCGAACGGGAUUAGAAACCCGGGUAGUCC